GGGGCCAGUGUUUCCUCCCCUUGGCGCUGUGCCCAGCUUGCAUUGCUUUCCCCAGGAACCGCCAGCCGCUUGACCGUCCCCUUUCUGGGCCUCACCCUUGUCAGCCCUGAUGGGAGACCAGACCUUGGCAACUGAGUCUCACCCCUUUGAAAUAUUUAUUCUUGUCCCCAUUUUCCAGAUGAGGAAACUGGGCCUCAGUGCGGUCAGCGUCCACAGCUUGAAGGUGACAGUCAGACUUUGGAUGAUGGACUGAACGGAUUAAAGAGCUGGUGUGCUUUCCCGGGUCAGGGGCUCUCUACCACUCCACCGUGUCUCUUGCAAAGUGUUUUGUUUAUUAGCCAAGUCGGGUGUACGAAUAUUUACGAGAACUUUCCUCAUGUGUAUUCAUCGCAGCCUAUUAGGCCUGUUCCCUUGCCCAGGGAAGGAGAUCAACCAUUACAGAUGGAAAUCAGGUUUCUUUUCAAUUGCCCGUGACUGACAGCUGGUGGCUGCUGUGUAGAAUGCGGUGUUGAGAAGGAUUCAGAGGCUGCUAGUCGGCUCUGUGGGAAAGGUGCCAUAUUGAUUAGUGAUGUCUGCCGUGAGCACAGGGAGAGAUUAGUGAUGUCUGCCGUGAGCACAGGGAAAGAGAGUGGCAACAAGUGUCUCCCGCCGUCCCUUGGAGCCUGGUGUGACCCUAACUGGUCCCUCUCUCCACCCGGUGGCAGCUGGCUAAACUGUAGGCAAAAUGGAUGGGCUUUAGGGCGGUGGUUUGCAAAGUCACGUUGAGGUGGAAGAACGGGGCACCAACCAGGAAGUAUUUUCAAACAGACCCCUCGUCCACAGGGUGCAGCAGAAUCCAAGGGGAGGAGAAGGGACAGGGAGAGCACUAGUAGUUUUGAAAAAAAGGUCUCCCCAGGUGAUUCGAAUCUGCCGACUUCUGCCCCUAACCUUGAGCAUCACCCUUUUGGGGCUGAGAAAGAAAAUUGUCUCAAACUUGGCUCAAAAGAGAAGUUUCUGUUGGUUGGAAUGGAGGCUCCUUCUGGGAAGCAACCGAUGUCCCUGGUAAAUUGCCUCAACACUUUUGGGCUAUGUUAUAGAUCACUUUCAGGACCGCUGAGAAUCUCAAGUGAGGGGCUAUCCGUGAAGUCUCCUUACAGGACGGAAGAUUCUAGAACACAAAGGAGCCGUUUGAUGAGCUGUGUUACUGUUAACCAGCGUGUUAAGAGUGCUGCAUGAGGAGUUCCACAAUCUAGAUUCUUUCCUGGCAUCGCUGCCCUGAGACAUCGGUGUGUCCGUCCCUUCUCCAGGCUUUGGGUUGCCCACCUGUCAGGAAGGAAGACUAAACAAUUUGUGAUGGAACCAUAGCCUUUGGUGUCAGGACCUGUCUCUCUCUGAAGUUUUUGAUCCACGAUGCCAUUUCAUUCUCGUGACACACUUGGUGAAGAGGGUGUGAGAGAGAGAGAGACCGAGACAGAGAGAGACGAGGAGAGACAGAGACUGGAGGCAAUUCUGAGUGAGAGACAGGAGGUGAGAGGGUCUGAGAAGCAGGGAAUCAGAGUGCCAGGGCGGGGGCUCAUUGAGUCAUGUCACUAAGACCAGAGGGAGGAGCAAGGCUGGGGGCUCUGGCGAGGCCCCCUCGGACCCAGAACUCUGGUUUCUAAAUGCCUUCUGGGCCCACUUGGGGAGGCUAGUGGCUGAGAAAGCCCUUCUGCGGGGCAUCUACACAGCUUGCGGGAUGCUGCUAUGCACCUGGGGCCGCGCCAGCAGCUGGCCCAGGCCUGAAGACCUCUGGCUCUGCCGGCAGGAGAAGUGGGUGGUCUUAAGGACCACGGGCCUAAGUGGAGCUUCAGGGUUUUGCCAGUUUCUCAGAGUUUGCUGGUCAGGCUGGCGAGAGAAGGCGGGGGGUGAGGCUGUGUUGGGAUAUUUUUUGCUUUUGCUAUUUUACUCCCUUAGAGAGGGAGGGGGAAGGAAGGGAGAGGUUAACGUGGUGCAAGGAGAAGGAGAGAGGAGGAGGGAGCAGGAGGUGGGUAGAGAUGGGGGUUAUUUUUUGCUAGGAAGCAAAUAGUGACAUCCUGAAAGACGAGGGAUACCAAGGCCCUUUGUGUUUUCUGCGUGUCCACUUCUGGAUGCAUCUGGAGCCGGGAGGGUGUGUUCCUAGUCACCGGGGAGUUAAACACAGCUGUCUGUUCUCCUGGCCAUUGGGGUGCAUGUCACGGAGAGGCGGUGGGAGCCUGGGUGCUCUAUUUCUGCCCCAAUGCCCGUCCUCACAGUCUUGUCCGGGUCUGCGGACAACUGAGGACAUACAUAGACACGACACAGGAAACGCAAUGGGUGUGUGUGUGUGUGUGUGUGUGUCCAAGGCCAGGAGGGUCUAAAAACAGUCCCAAAUGAAGAGGAACCUCUGUAAUUUACCUGAACUGAGAGGUUAAGUUAGCAAGCUCCCUGUAAAAAUCUCCCCAGCCCUAUCCCAAUUGCUCAUCCUGGAGCGACAAGAGAGGGGCAGCAUUCAGAAACUGCAUCGCAGCAUCGCGGAGCAAGGAGGAAGGUCUUUGGCAGCAGUGCCCAAGACACUCGUACCAGUGUUUUAAGCGCUCUCCCUUCGCUGAGAUCCCCAGCUGGCAGCCCCCUGGAGGACAAGAUGGGAAGAGAGGGGCAGUGGUCAGAGUGGAGGGCCGUAGGGGACUCUCCUUCCGGACCCAACUGUCUCGUUGGAGAAAAUCUGCCACCAAGGAGGGACGCCCUCCAGCGACUUGGGAUCCAUUCUCUAUGGAGGGUUGUUGUUACGAUGCUAUUCUGACUCCUGGCUUCUCUGCCUGCAGGACACCUAGGCGGGAACCUGCUGCAGCGCGAAGUCAUAGCUGCACUGUCUGGUUUUAAAGACCUUCCGCCAAUCACCACCCCCUCACUGAAACUUUUCUCCCACUG
Molecule: non-coding RNA, 2904 nt
Organism: Equus caballus (horse)
Lineage: Eukaryota; Metazoa; Chordata; Mammalia; Perissodactyla; Equidae
Source: RefSeq, a predicted model, not a curated record